GAGAGAGAGAGAGAGAGAGAGAGAGAGCGCGCGCUUGGGUCUGAGUGUCUGCCUGCCUCUCUCUCUCUCUCUCUCUCUCUCUC
Podarcis lilfordi (Lilford's wall lizard) is the source of this 83-nucleotide non-coding RNA. NCBI's taxonomy places the organism in Eukaryota, Metazoa, Chordata, Lepidosauria, Squamata, Lacertidae. The record is from the annotation of a GenBank genome assembly.